This 832-nucleotide long non-coding RNA is filed under the name Homarus americanus (American lobster). RNAcentral's name for it is "uncharacterized LOC121878652, transcript variant X2". The record is from RNAcentral. Lineage: Eukaryota; Metazoa; Arthropoda; Malacostraca; Decapoda; Nephropidae.
ACCUGGCAAGACAAGUUUCAAACAGGUCUGUUCAAUUUUUGAAGGGUCACCUCAAAAGACUUGUCAGAAGCAUACAAAUCCUCAUAUCUAUAUAUAUUAUCAUAUAAUAAUUUUUUUGCAGAUAUGACUGUAGCCUACAGUAUUUAAGGCCUACUUCAAAAAAUGUUUUGUUUGUUUGUUUUCGAUCUACUGAUAACUAUAAAAACAGAGAUAUAGAAGACCGAAAGCUUAAAAAGACAGGUGGUGGUCCACGAGAAAAAAAUAUUAAAAGCUUCAGAAGAAACUGCCUUAACAGCAUCACUGAUGAGGGCCGAGUUAGCAGUGGCUGGUGAUUUUUACGAGACCUUCCGCAGUCACCCAGUAGAUGAAGAAAUAAUUCCUUAUAGAAUGUGCAGAUAGGUGAGAAUAUUUAUUGAUUUAUACAGUUGUAUGCAUUCUCAUUGAUACCAUUGCUCAAUCGCCUUUGGCUGUGUAAAAAUCAAACGGCAGCAGUGACCUACCUUAUACUGACUUUUUGCAGUUUUGCCUGUUCCAACCCCAGGGCCAUCAACUGUGCUCACCAGUCAUUGUUCCUGCCUCGACAGUGAAUGCUCCUACCUCACCAGUGAAUGCUCCUGCCUCGCCAGUCAUUGUUGCUUCACCAGUCAUUGUUCCUGCCUCACCAGUCCUUGCUCCUGCCUCACCAACACUGGAGCAGGUUCAGAAAUAUAAAAACAGAGAUAUAAAAGACCGAAAACUUGAGGGCCGAGUUAGCAGUGGCUGAUGAUUUUUACGAGACUUUCCGCAAUCACCCAGUAGAUGAAGAAAUAAUUCCUUGUGGAAUGUGCAGUAG